Xenia sp. Carnegie-2017 is the source of this 2638-nucleotide RNA transcript. It is a transcript of the gene named retinoic acid-induced protein 1-like, with no coding region annotated. The record is from RefSeq and is a predicted model, not a curated record. The transcript is spliced from 7 exons. Lineage: Eukaryota; Metazoa; Cnidaria; Anthozoa; Malacalcyonacea; Xeniidae.
CCAUCAUUAACUGCAGAACAAAUUUCUCGAUAGUAAAUCAGAAUGUGACAGUGAAAAUGUAAAGUUGACAAGAAGACUGCUCGAGUUUUCUCAGAGCUAUCUUCUUGAAAAUGACAAAUAGAAACAAGAGCUUGGACUCGCUGUUGGAGAUGAGUGAGGACUUUCGUGUGCCCGAUCAACUGUUUGAGGACAGUGAUGUGAACUGUGAAGAAGAGCAGAUCAAAGUGCAUGAUGGGAAAAUGGGGAGUGAUAUUCAAGAAAUUGAAUUACCCAUGAUCCCAAAUCAUUUAGUAGAUGCUAAUUCAAUUUCGACAGAUGGCCUUGUAGAAGUCGAGGCGAAGAAGGAUGAUGGGAAAAUGGGAAACGAUAUUGAAGAAGUUGAUGUACAGACUCCUCAAAAUAAAUUAAAAGUUAAAAGUAAAAUUUCACCAAAUAGUCAGGAUGAUUCCACUCAAGUAAAAGAUUUUUCACAAAACAUGAAUGCUUCAUCAAAACUUUCCAAUAAGUCGUGUGACAGUGUUGUUGUCAUUGACUCUGUCGUGAACAAAGAAACCCAUACCUCCACUUCAUCCUCUGUUAAAAUGUCGAUCCCAUCAAAAAACCCAUCUGUCCAAACUCCCCUAAAAAUGGUCUCAAUACCGGUGGACUCAAAUAUAAUCACGCAAAACAAUAGUCAAGUGGUGUUGAUUCCCGUGGGUGGAAUGGAUUCAGAAACUUUACAGACUUCGUUAAAAGUGCCACCUGGACAAAAAAUUGUGAUAAUCAAACCGCAGGAAAUAUUGAAAACAAUCGAACAGAAAAAGUCACAAAAGUCCGAGAAACAAAACUUAAUUGUUGACAAUCACAAGGUGAUACUGCAAACGAUCAAACCAAAUGUAUCAGCAAAUCAAAAUAUUGUACGUGCACAAUUGCCUCGUGUUUUAUCGAAGACGGCUGUUGUUCCUUCUUCAAUGGUUAGUCAAUCAAAGCGGGUAGGUCAAAUUUCUGGCCAAACUGUACAGCUUCUACCUCUACAGCCCCGCGUACCUUCCUGUAAAAAAGGAAGCUUAGCUCGUCCCUCUUUAAAACCGACUGUUCAACGUUUUCGCUUCCGCAAUCUUCAAACACCAGGGCAGCGAUUGCUGUUACGCGAACUUCUGAUAAACCUGUUCAAACAGGCUUUGUCGUCUCGCAAUCCGGAUCAGCAGCGUCUCAAACCGGUUUGUUUAUACCUAAGGUCAAUUUAACUACCGUUAACGCAAAUGUUCAGCCUGAAAAUAACAUAAAUCUACCCAUUGUUUUAACUAAAGAAAAGGAUAGUUGUACUUCGAAUGAUCGACAAAAUGAACUCUCAAAAUUUCCCGCUAAAGCAGAACAAACGUCAGAUUCCAAUGUGGCAAUUGAUAACCCUACAGGGGCGCACAUUCAGAAGCCAGCGGUAAAUCCUGCUACAAAAGUUCUCAAUGUUUCGAGUACAUCGAAGCGUCAAAGUAAUAGAGCUCCAUUAACUGCGCAAAGCUCUUAUAGUGAGCCGAAUGCUGUACCGAAUUUAGUUUCAAAUGUGUCAUCGUCUUUUAAGAAAGUUGAGAAUUUACUGAAGCCAUGUUUAUCUAAUGAGGUUACGUGGCCUUCGAUUAAAAAACCUGAAAAAACUUUAGAAAAAGUUGUUGUUCAACCUCAUGGCAAACCGAGAUUGUUGCAAAAUAACGAUGGUAAUGAACCAAAAAGUAAUCUAUUUCAAAAUGAAACAAACACAUCUCAGACAUCAUCGACAAACGAACUUAUCAAUGCUUCCGAACGAGGCAAAUCGUCAGCUAAAACUGGACAAGUAGUGAAAAAAGUAAAAAAUAAAGAGGUUUCAAGUACCAACCCGUGGACUUGUGCUUUGUGUGGAAAACCGUCCUUUGUCAACAACCUCGGUUGUCUUUAUGGACCAUAUGAGAUUAAUGAUCCAUCGGGGAUCACAUGGGAUAUCAGGAGGAAAACGUUUGCGAGGACAGUGAGCCCAUAUCAAAAAAACGACGAUCGUCUACGAGUGAGAAAGAUUCUCCUUGUGAAGUAUGGUUUCAUGGUUACUGUGUUGUUUGGUCGCCGGGGUUCUAUACCGUAGAUAAUACUUUAGUGGGAUGUGAACAAGUUGUUAUUGAUGCCAGAACAAGGUUUUGUAGCGUCUGCGGUGAAAAUGGCGCUACGUUGAUAUGUUUACAACGUACGUGCCGGAAACUGUUUCAUUUUUACUGCGCCAAGGAAUAUGGAUGUGUGUUUGAUGAAUCAAAUUAUACAAUUCAAUGUGGAAAACACGUCAAGUAAAACGAUGAAAGAGUAAUGUCAAUAGAUGGCUUAUUCAGAUCACGUGAUAACUGACAUAAUGCGCAUGGCGUACAGAAGCAGCUUAUCAAGGCGUCGCUGCAAACUGAACCCUGGAACAUAAUGGAUUGUCGGGAAUUUCAAUGGAUUCAAGUAGGAUACUGCAUGUAUUUAUGUAGUCGGACAAAUUACCUGUAUGUCAUGUUGUAUGCGAUAUUUGGUCCUAAGGGAUGAUCCCCCGAAGCAUCCAGCACAGCAACAUUCGUUCAUUUUACGACUGAGUUUGCAUGCCAAUAUUGGCGAGCAGAACAUACCCAAGAGACCUGACCAAUAAAGAUAAAAAUUUGUUGAA